GCCGACCAGUUCGAUUCUGGCUCUCCAUCUGUUGCGUACCGCUUGCCACCGAGCAUCCCCUUUUCAUCCAGGGCCUCACCAAUAGAACAAGUGCUCCUGAAAGGCUAGAUCUUGAUUACCAGCCAGUUCCACCGCCAUGCAUGCCAGUAAAAUGGAGCUUCAGUUCAUUCAGGCAAACACAGGGGAAAACACGAGAACCGACCAAACACACCAUGCAAACUUCACUGGUUUAUAGAUGUAAACCCAAAGACCUAUCAAUGGAAAAUCCUCGCACGCAUUGGCCACAUUUGGGAAAACAGAGACCAACAAACACAUCGGAAUAUAUACGAGCUAGGGCUCAUUGUUGUGGACUCUGGGGUGAUAUUCUGCAGUUUUCAGCAGUCAAAUUAUUUUGUCUCCUUAUUCUCUUCACGAAGUGAAGAUAGGUUGUGUCUACUUCACUGCUAGGGAUAAGGUCACUAGCCUUUUACAUGUUCUCUCAUGUGAUGUCUCUCCAUUUCAGGCUUUCAACUUUCAAGGUAUAUCACGUACAUUGUGUUGCUGUUCCAUGUCCCAAGAUGUUAUGAAGUCCCAUUUCCAUGGCUGAUUUAACGAUACUGUGCAUCUGCUAAGUGUUUGCUUGCUUGACGGUUUGCCCGAAAUGAUACACAACAAGUAAUGGAGAUAAGGUACGUAUGUUGAUUUAUUCUUGCAACCAGGGUCACAUCAGAUAUUUACAGCUGGCAAGUGAAGAAUAGCGACAAAGCUAUGGUCAGUUUUUUUUGGAGAUUACUUUUAAAUUUCACAAGCAGUACUUCCAAAUGUGAGUGUAUGCAUAACCUUACCAUUUACCAUAUUUAUUAUUUAGUCGUGGUUGACUCCCUUAAUUUCAUAUUCUAUAUCAUUGCUUUUAUGUGAUGCUUAGAACAUAGGUAGAUAACUUUGGAUGCCUAAAUAAAAGAUCUUUGAUGCAUGACUUUCUUUUUGUUUAUGGCAGUGAACAUGUCAAGCAUAUUAGUUAUGAUAGGCGAGGUACACUCUUACACUGACACUUCUCAUAUUGCUUAUAGUAGAUCCAACAUCAAUAGGCUGUCUCCCACAAUCCGUAUACACGGCGAGGUCGACUGGAUCAGGGAAAAAAGGCGUACAUUCAUACAAGUUAUAUAUGAUUGUACCAGUGUCUGAAUCCAUAUUUGCCGUUUGCACGAGAAGAAGAAAUAGACCAAUUGCCCAGGUAAAGAUGCAACGCCAGAGCUAAAUUGCAUAAGCCAUGCCUAAACAUGUAAUAUCGUGGUAAACAGUUUCAUUUGCACCAGCUGUUGAAAUUAAUUAAGGCCAUGGUGAUUGCAAUAAUUAGCCAUCCAGAGAACCUAUAUAGAAUGCAUUUUCUCCGCAAUGUCUCAGCCGCGACACAAUGUACAAUAUGAGGCACCCUUCUAGCAGCUCUACAACAGAGUGAACAGACCAUUGAGCUGUUGUAAUAUUGAGUACCUCCAAUGAAGUAUUAUUAAGUAGCUGAAUUACUAUAAUAUUAAGUGGCUUUGUAUAAUUGCAGAUCCCAUUUAUUAGGUUUUCCACCAUGCCUGUUAGACUAAGCCAUCAUUCUCUCCUGCUACGAUAAAGUGACUACUGAGAGAUGUCUCAGAAACUAGGUUGUGGCAAAGCCACCUUAUCAAUCUACUUUACUGACACCUGCACGAUUUGGUCAUCAAGAGUAUGUUCUGCUUUUGGGCAAGUAUCUAUGGUGUGUUGUGCUAUGUUUGCGUAGAACCAUGUAAUGGAACUAUUUUUGACAAUGUUGUGCUUUGUCGUUGCUGUUUUGUAUGAAUAUUGCAUGCGCCACUACCUAUCCGUAGUGCAGCGCAUUCCUUGCAUGCCUCACGGGCACGGCUAAGAUAUUUCCGCAUAUCACACAGCUCUCCCCGGAUGACAGAUGCAUGUGCCCAUUACUUGAUGUAACUGGAGAUUCUGAGGAAGUUUUCGAUUCUGUUUCCUAUAUAGAUCCGCUUGCGAAGGAGGUACAUGGUUAGGCAAUCAGUCCCAAAAGUCUGUAGGUAGUAGCUACAAAUGUUUGGUGAAGUUAUCUGUAAACUUUUGCAGAUGCCAGCUGCAGGGAUUCAAUGCAUGGGGACCUAACAUCAGAUCAUUGCUAGCACCAAACCUUUGCAAACGGUGGCUACAACUAACCAGUAUCAACAUUACCAUCCCGAGACGAUGCAUGUAUAAAUAAGACCUGUGUAAUUUGCGUUCUACUAUUGUGACGCUGUAUAUCCAUUUUACUACCUGCUAAUAUUGUACUGUGACAUGGUUUGUGGUUGCUUUUCCAUGCUA
Molecule: long non-coding RNA, 2310 nt
Organism: Lolium rigidum
Lineage: Eukaryota; Viridiplantae; Streptophyta; Magnoliopsida; Poales; Poaceae
Exons: 3
Source: RefSeq, a predicted model, not a curated record